CAAACAACAAACCAAAUCAAAGAAAUACAUAAAUGAAAGAGAGAGUAAGAAGUGACAAAUCCUAUUAAUGAGCUUUCUUCAAUCUUCUCUCCUCUUCAAUGCCUUCAAUCUUGGUAAAAGAUGUGGUAAUGGAGGCUAGGGUUUGGUGUGAAUGAAUUGGGGAAGAUGGAAAUGGGUGAGUAUGAGGUUGGGGAUGAUGAAUAAUGUGAGGAAAAGGGGGAGAAAGGGGUUUAAGGGCUGAAAAACGCGACUCCGCUCUUUUCCCGCGGUCAUGGCCCGCGCCCGUGGUGCUCAAACGUGGGCAAAACUCAGGGAACCCGCGGUCCCGCCCCGCGGCCGCGGGUGGUGACCGCGGUACACCCCUGGAAUUGGGAACAGCUGACCCGCGGUCCCACCCCGCG
RNAcentral lists this long non-coding RNA (401 nucleotides) under Salvia miltiorrhiza (redroot sage). Its description in RNAcentral is "long non-coding RNA (SMIL_LNC009873)". The record is from RNAcentral. Lineage: Eukaryota; Viridiplantae; Streptophyta; Magnoliopsida; Lamiales; Lamiaceae.